This is a long non-coding RNA of Pezoporus occidentalis (night parrot), 1920 nucleotides long. RefSeq lists it as uncharacterized. Lineage: Eukaryota; Metazoa; Chordata; Aves; Psittaciformes; Psittacidae. The record is from RefSeq and is a predicted model, not a curated record. The transcript has 3 exons.
CACCAAGGCCUGGUGUCUGCUGCCAAGUGCCCUUGGCACAUGCUCAUCAAGCUGCUCCCACAUAUUUACCCAUAUGGAACACCGGGAGCAUCCCAAUCUCCCCAUUCUCCUGCCUAAUGCCGCGCUUCCACGCUCCUUGUAUCAGCUGGAAUCGCUUUUCCACCUCUCCUCUCUGCUGGAGCAGAGCACAAAGCUCUCCCCUCCCUGCUCCCCUCUCCACCCAGAGCAGCGUUGGAAAUGCCUCUGGAAAUACCUCGGGAGAGUUGAGAGGCGGCCAAGAGGCCUCUGAUCCCGGCCUGGAGCGAGCACAUCCCAAUCCCGGCGCGUGGGAGCCGAGGCACCUCCCUCCCUGCUGCUCUGCUGAGGGUUGCAGGAAUGCCGGCCUUUUGUCAUCCUGGAGCAAUGCUUUUGGGUGGAUUUGGGAUGGUUUUAGUCACCCGCUGUCGGGAUGAAGCAGCUCAGAGCAAGUUGGUGCCAGGUUUCAAUCCAUUCCCAAGCAUCCAAAGAUAAAAUGUGAUGCUGAAGUGGAAAGAGUCCCAAAGCUGCAUCUGGGAGUGAAACUCCCUUUAAAACUUCCUGAAAAUAGGAACUCUAAUAAUAAUAACACAUAUUUUUUCCCUCUUUCAGCCCCCCCCCAGGCUCUCACUGCUGGCUGCUAAACCCCAAAUAUCCCUGUUUCUCCUAUAAAACUGGAGCUUGUGGAAUUGCUCCAGAGUCAUUCCCUGGCUCUCAAUCCCUCCACCUGCCCUGGAAGACAUUUCCCUUGUGCCACCAGGGUCAGAGGGACUAAAAUUCCAAGUAUUUGGGGGCAGCUUAAGCCCCAAAUCCAGUUAAACCAGCAUCUUGCUCGCUUCUCAGUUAAAGCUCAAUCCAAUCCUAUGGUUUUCCUUUGCUUUUGGGGUGAAACCUCGGGAAUACAAUAGGAAACAUGAGGUUUAAUUGUGCUUUAGAGCAGCUGAAUCCCCCCUUUUGUACUGGAUGCAAACAGGGAAGGGACUGAGCCUGAUCUUAGUCCAGGCCUUGGCUCUUGCUUAACUUCACCUUCGGCUCCAGCCUCUUCCAUCCCUCUUUUCCCUAUAGGCUUCCCAAACAAAGCUGCUGCCGGUAUCCUGCUGUCGCUGUGGCUAUAUCGGGUGUCCAUAUGUGCCCAGCUAUUCCUGCUGUGGGUGAUGGAUCCCGGGCUUUGGAGCAAUAUCCCCUUACACAUUCUGCUCCAGAAAUAGCCCGGGCUGAGCCGCCGGGCCCGUGGCAGCCAAAAUAACCCCCCCCCACCCUGCCAUGGCUCCCUGGGUCCAGCAGGGAUCUGGGAAUGCUGCUCCCGGCAGCUCCUGCUGGGGCUGGUGCAGGAGGGAUGUGGUAGCUGCUGGCAGAUAAAAGUGAGGCUGCUGUGGACAGGGGUUAGGAGGGUGGGGUUGGGUUGAGGGGGUUGAGGUGGGGAUGUUGGGGUUGGAACUGAGUGGAGGAUGUUGAGGAUGUUGGGGUUGGGUUGAGGUUGAGUUGGAGAUGUUGGGGUUGGGCUGAGAAGGUUGGGUUGGAGAUGUUGAGGCUGCGGCUCAGUGGAGGACAUUGAGGAUAUUGGGGUUGAGUUGAUAUUGAGGUGUUGGGAUUGAGGAUGUUGGGGUUGGGUUGAGAAGGUUAAGUUGGAGAUACUGGGAUUGAGGUUGGGGUUGGGUUGAGGCAAUUGAGGAUGUUGAGUUUGGGGUUCAGUGGAGGACAUUGAGACAUUGGGAUUGAGUUGAGGUUGAGGGAGUUGAAUUGAGGAGCUUGAGGUUGCAUUGAAGAGGUUGAGGUUGGGUUGAGCAUUGAGGAUGUUGAAGUUGCAUUGAGGAGCCUCAGGUCACGCUGCUGAUAUUGUGUUGUGCUUCUGAUGCCCAUGAGCCACCUCCCCCUGACCAAGCUGACCCCUGGCUCCUUUCUUCC